AAACUUUCAACAAUGGAUCUCUUGGCUCUCGCAUCGAUGAAGAACGCAGCGAAAUGCGAUAAGUAAUAUGAAUUGCAGAAUUCCGUGAAUCAUCAAAUCUUUGAACGCAAAUUGCACUUCUUGGUAUUCCGAGGAGUACACAUGCUUGAGGGUCAGU
Molecule: ribosomal RNA, 157 nt
Filed under: Gigaspora margarita
Lineage: Eukaryota; Fungi; Glomeromycota; Glomeromycetes; Diversisporales; Gigasporaceae
Description: 5.8S ribosomal RNA
Rfam family: 5.8S ribosomal RNA
About the family: 5.8S ribosomal RNA (5.8S rRNA) is a component of the large subunit of the eukaryotic ribosome. It is transcribed by RNA polymerase I as part of the 45S precursor that also contains 18S and 28S rRNA.
Source: RNAcentral